This 426-nucleotide ribosomal RNA is filed under the name uncultured bacterium. Its description in RNAcentral is "bacterial SSU rRNA". It matches the Rfam family "Bacterial small subunit ribosomal RNA", at positions 354 to 796 of the family's 1533-position model. The record is from RNAcentral.
GUGAGGAAUUUUCCGCAAUGGGCGAAAGCCUGACGGAGCAAUGCCGCGUGAAGGAUGAAGGCCUAUGGGUUGUAAACUUCUUUUCUCAGAAAAGAAUUAUGACGGUAUCUGAGGAACAAGCAUCGGCUAACUCUGUGCCAGCAGCCGCGGUAAGACAGAGGAUGCAAGCGUUAUCCGGAAUGAUUGGGCGUAAAGCGUCUGUAGGUUGUUUAAAAAGUAUUCUGUCAAAGAUUAGGGCUUAACCCUAGAUAGGCAGAAUAAACUUUUAAGCUAGAGUUUGGUAGAGGCAGAGGGAAUUCCCGGUGGAGCGGUGAAAUGCGUAGAUAUCGGGAGGAACACCAAAGGCGAAGGCACUCUGCUGGGCCAAUACUAACACUGAGAGACGAAAGCGAGGGGAGCAAAUGGGAUUAGAAACCCUUGUAGUCC